CAGAGAAACCCUGUCUCAAAACACACACACACACACACACACACACACACACACACACACACACACACACAAGUCUGCCCUUUUGGCCUAAUGAAUUCACAACUUGGACCUAUCAACAAAACAGAAAUAUAUAUGUAUACACAUGCAAAUUUUCUUCGCUCUCUUGAUAGACUGUAGGAAUAGGGGGCAUCCUCAUUAUUCACACAAAAGUCCACCCACCCCCCUGAGGAUUUUCCAAAAGAAAAACCCAGCACAAGUAGUCAAGUUAGAGAUGCCACCUCCAAGAAAGUGGUAGAACAGGCAAACAUGGGGUACAUCAUCCAUCUUACCACAAAGUGUUCUCUUAGGGAACCAGUUGCCAUCUUCUAGGAACAGUCAGGACAAGGUGGUUCAAACAGGCCCUGAACUCUGGAAGACCGAUGUAAAAAGUGGAUUGGGAACUGCCUCUUUCCAAGUUCUUUUAUUCUCUGACUCCUCAGACACAUGGUUGGCAGAGGAGACCUCUACCUUCCCUUCGACAUCUUUGGAAAAGGCCCUCACCAGACCUGGGUUUUCCUCCUUGGAGGAAUGGACAGACCCGUCCACCACGAAUCUCUCCUCUAGUACUUAAGUCAAGCAUUUUCCCCACAGCUCAUAGAAACGAUCCCAUACUGUCAUGGCCCAGGGCACUGGCACCUGAGUGAGAAACCAGCUGAGGAUUCUGAGGUUAUCUGGAGAGAACCGCCCUCCCUUCAGGUACAGCAGCCACUUUGUGUUUCCCAAGGCCUCUCCUUGCUGUCCUCCACACAACACAGCCUCUCUUCUGAAGCCCUCUUGAGCUACAAGGCUGAUCCCAUCUCCUAGUGCACUGGGACAGGGUUGGAGUUCCUGGGCUCUCUCCCGCUUCUACCAGGCCUGAGGGUCCUCCACACAGUGUCCACCUGUCCCCCAAUCCCCACACUCUCUGGUGCUUUAUGGAACAUCACAGCCCUCCACACUACCAGCAGUCCAUAAAACUGGAUCCCCUUUGCUUUCAGACCCUCCUGUGGCUUCCUACUGCUCUGAGGAACGUCAGGUGGGCCUUCACCAUCUCACUUUGCACCACAUCCUGGCCACCAUGCCAUUCCCUCAGAGGGAGUGGCCCCUCCCCCAAAUGCUCUCCCACAUCAACCAGCUCUAUCUGUUCCAUCCAGAAAGCUGUUGAUAAUUAUUCUGGGUAGAACCAGCCUCCCAUCUCAAGCAUAGGACUUUCCCAAGGUGUCCAGGAGACUACUUACUUCACUGUUUCCCUGUUGGGGAAUCCAUCUCCUGAGCUAAGGAAAUACAAUCCUGGGAGACAAGGUCCUGUCAGACAUCCUAUUUCUUUCAUGGGGUUCAGUGUUUUGUGCAUAAUCCAAUGGACCCUUCAUAGAAAUGUCUAAUGGACAUGAAAUGAGAAGAUUAUCAGUUUCUAGGAAAGACAAGCAUCCUGCUAGGAAUGGACUACUUCCCAAAGAGAGCCCUAAAUGUUUUCACCAAAUAUAUACUUGGGGCCCCAAGCUGGGUUGAGAAUGAAUGAACUAAGAGUGUGGGCAGUCAUCAAGGUUCUACCCAUCAACUGCCUGGAAAAGCAACUCUGCAAACCUUGCUCCCAGAACCAUUUGUAUUCUCAGGCUUUUCCCAGAAAGUACCACUAGAGAUCUGAAAACUGCUCUUCUGCAGCUAGUCAGGACAUGCAGAGAGGGGCAGCUCACGGUUUGUAGUUGAUAUCUUGGGCAGAGGCACCUACUGUUUCUAGCUGUGAGCUUUGGGAACUUCCUCUGUGAAAGACGUCAGGAGUGAGAGGCUCCCAAGGAUCAAAAUGUCAUGUGUGAUUUGGGUGCAUGCCAAGUUCCUCCUAACUUGGUUCCAUUACAAGCUUCAUCACUGAAUGUCUCCUGCUUCUCUGGGAGGAAGAGAACAUCUGGAAAAUUAUGACAAAAAUGAGAGGCAGCCACUGGCAUUUGUGUUCUCAUUUGUAGUUUCUGGUUUUUGUUUUGCCUUUUAAUUUUUUUCCUAGAAAAGAAAAACACAACCAGAGGAAUUUAUAUGACAAACUAUCAGUAUCAGAAUGGCAGGGAAAAGUGAAAGAAAGGC
Non-coding RNA from Peromyscus maniculatus bairdii (prairie deer mouse), 2094 nucleotides. The record is from RefSeq and is a predicted model, not a curated record. NCBI's taxonomy places the organism in Eukaryota, Metazoa, Chordata, Mammalia, Rodentia, Cricetidae.